CGGGGCAGGGCCUGGGUUG
Molecule: unclassified non-coding RNA, 19 nt
Filed under: Mus musculus (house mouse)
Lineage: Eukaryota; Metazoa; Chordata; Mammalia; Rodentia; Muridae
Description: oocyte_clustered_small_RNA2771
Source: RNAcentral